GAUGAACGCUGGCGGCGUGCCUAAUACAUGCAAGUCGAGCGAACGGACGAGAAGCUUGCUUCUCUGAUGUUAGCGGCGGACGGGUGAGUAACACGUGGAUAACCUACCUAUAAGACUGGGAUAACUUCGGGAAACCGGAGCUAAUCCCGGAUAAUAUUUUGAACCGCAUGGUUCAAAAGUGAAAGACGGUCUUGCUGUCACUUAUAGCUGGAUCCGCGCUGCAUUAGCUAGUUGGUAAGGUAACGGCUUACCACGGCAACGAUGCAUAGCCGACCUGAGAGGGUGAUCGGCCACACUGGAACUGAGACACGGUCCAGACUCCUACGGGAGGCAGCAGUAGGGAAUCUUCCGCAAUGGGCGAAAGCCUGACGGAGCAACGCCGCGUGAGUGAUGAAGGUCUUCGGAUCGUAAAACUCUGUUAUUAGGGAAGAACAUAUGUGUAAGUAACUGUGCACAUCUUGACGGUACCUAAUCAGAAAGCCACGGCUAACUACGUG
Molecule: ribosomal RNA, 497 nt
Filed under: uncultured bacterium
Lineage: Bacteria
Description: partial 16S ribosomal RNA
Rfam family: Bacterial small subunit ribosomal RNA
Source: RNAcentral